Molecule: ribosomal RNA, 1749 nt
Filed under: Triticum aestivum (bread wheat)
Lineage: Eukaryota; Viridiplantae; Streptophyta; Magnoliopsida; Poales; Poaceae
Description: partial small subunit ribosomal RNA
Source: RNAcentral
UACCGGAAAAGUUGGGUGUGUUGGUAUUUAAAGGCACUGAGACUGAAGGCUCGGGGUCUGCGGGACCCCGAAGGACUUACAUACGAAGUCGAACGUCGAUACAGGCAGCUGUAGUUGUCUGAGGUCUCAGGCUUCGUUUUGCUUCGGAGGGGCAAGCAAACCUAAGACCUGGCAGGCUAACUCGAGGGACUGCGCAGGACCGGCAGCCUAGCGCUCUACCUCGCUAGGCCCGGUAGGCUAGCUCUACCUCGCAAAGACCGGCAGCCUAGCCCAUUUUGUGACGGUGGCGGCGGUAGGAGGGACGGGCGGCGGCCGUGGUGGUAGGAGGGGCAGGCAGCGGCAGAGGACACCCAUUUGGCUCUUUUCGCUAGUUAGCCCGGUCUUGGGUCAGCGGUAGGGGCAGCGGGGGGAGGCGGCUCGAGAGAAGGAGCAGAAGGGGCAGAUGCUGGAGGACGAUGAGAGAAGCUGGUGGCGGUCGCGGGGUGGAGGAGAGGGUCUAGUUCCAGUCCGGUGGCGUAGGGAGGGAGUGAAGGAGGGAGGGAAGGAGCGCAGGCUUAGGGAUCGGUCGCCCUCCGGUACCGCUGGCUCGCCGUGUCCGUCGCGUCACGUCUAUUGGGGCGGCGGGGACGGCGGUGGCUGGAGGAGGGGUCGUGCGCGUGUGCCUGAGGGGGAGGAGGGCGGCGCCGGAGGAGGAAGGUGGGAUUGGGGUUGGGGUUUAGAUCGGCUAGACUGAGGAGGGGAGUGGAGGAAGGAGGAAGGUGGUGAGGUUGGAGGUGUCUCGGCGCCGGUACCGCUGGCUCGACGGAAGGGAGUGAGGGAGGAGCGUGCCCUUUGGGAUGGGGCGCCCGUUGGUACCGCUGGCUCGUCGUCGUCCGUUGGUUGGAGGUACUGUUCUGGAGCUGUUCCGACUAAACCUUUAGGGGGUCCAGUUACCCAUCGCCGGUACCUAGGUCGUUCUUUUCAUCCCUGAAGAGAACACCAACCGCACACCCUUAACGAAACCGUUCUCGAUACAAGUACUUGGGUUGGUAGCAAAACGAGUUACUCGGAUGGUUAGUAUAGCUAAACCUUUAGGGGCGGUUGGCUCGAUAGCAGACAAGCAGGGAGGGAGGAGCGCGGGCCUUGGGAUCGAGUGCCGGUACCGCUGGCAUGCGCAGCGUCCAUCCCGUCCUAGAAGUCGUGAGGUUGUGCAACUGUUCCUUCCGCCUACGCCGCUGCCUAUUCUACAAGUCCGUUUCGAAGGCACUCGCACCUAGGCUGCUCCAUCUUCUGCUCUACCUCCCACCCCUACGUCUUUCCUUCGGGGCGUACGGUGUGUACAAGACAUUUUAUGAGUGGUGGCGGCAAAGGAAUCGUGUGGUAACCGGUAGGGAAGUAGACAGUGCAAGGAUACCUCCGUAGGACCCGAUACGUUGUUUCAACUGCUCCGUUUGUUACAAGUUCUUUCGCCUUUCGGGUCGAUCGUACCGUUCGCUGGGAAAACAAAGAAAACUUUGUUGAAGAUGAAGCAGAACAGUUAUGGUACUACUAAAACCAAAGAGUUAGGACCAAUACUUAGAUAAUCUAAAACCACCCGUGACACGAAGAACGUUUUAGCGGUAUCUACGGCUGUCCGUACCACGGAGGAAAUUAGACACGUACUCGGUCCAACUGAUACUACACGAGUAGUAACUGAGGUGGUGGCGUCCAAAACUCCUACUAUUUAAAAGUACACCGAUGGUUACAAUAUUUGGUCUUAAGAGAAAGAUU